AAACUGGAGAGUUUGAUCCUGGCUCAGAACGAACGCUGGCGGCGUGCCUAACACAUGCAAGUCGAACGGAAUGAGGGGCUUGCUCCUCAUUUAGUGGCGCACGGGUGAGUAACGCGUAGAUAAUCUGC
Molecule: ribosomal RNA, 128 nt
Filed under: Geobacter sp.
Lineage: Bacteria; Pseudomonadati; Thermodesulfobacteriota; Desulfuromonadia; Geobacterales; Geobacteraceae
Description: partial 16S ribosomal RNA
Rfam family: Bacterial small subunit ribosomal RNA
Source: RNAcentral